Molecule: ribosomal RNA, 1664 nt
Filed under: Staphylococcus pseudintermedius
Lineage: Bacteria; Bacillati; Bacillota; Bacilli; Caryophanales; Staphylococcaceae
Description: partial 23S ribosomal RNA
Rfam family: Bacterial large subunit ribosomal RNA
Source: RNAcentral
UUCUAAGGGCGUUGAAGCAUGAUCGCAAGGACAUGUGGAGCGCUUAGAAGUGAGAAUGCCGGUGUGAGUAGCGAAAGACGGGUGAGAAUCCCGUCCACCGAUUGACUAAGGUUUCCAGAGGAAGGCUCGUCCGCUCUGGGUUAGUCGGGUCCUAAGCUGAGGCCGACAGGCGUAGGCGAUGGAUAACAGGUUGAUAUUCCUGUACCACCAUUAUUCGUUUUAAGCGAUGGGGGGACGCAGUAGGAUAGGCGAAGCGUGCUGUUGGAGUGCACGUCCAAGCAGUGAGAUUGAGUGUUAGGCAAAUCCGGCACUCUUAAGAUUGAGCUGUGAUGGGGAGAGGAACUUGUUCCUCGAGUCGUUGAUUUCACACUGCCGAGAAAAGCCUCUAGCUAGAAUAACGGUGCCCGUACCGCAAACCGACACAGGUAGUCAAGAUGAGAAUUCUAAGGUGAGCGAGCGAACUCUCGUUAAGGAACUCGGCAAAAUGACCCCGUAACUUCGGGAGAAGGGGUGCUCUUUGAGGUUCACGCUUCGAAGAGCCGCAGUGAAUAGGCCCAAGCGACUGUUUAUCAAAAACACAGGUCUCUGCUAAACCGUAAGGUGACGUAUAGGGGCUGACGCCUGCCCGGUGCUGGAAGGUUAAGAGGAGUGGUUAGCGCAAGCGAAGCUACGAAUCGAAGCCCCAGUAAACGGCGGCCGUAACUAUAACGGUCCUAAGGUAGCGAAAUUCCUUGUCGGGUAAGUUCCGACCCGCACGAAAGGCGUAACGAUUUGGGCACUGUCUCAACGAGAGACUCGGUGAAAUCAUAGUACCGGUGAAGAUGCCGGUUACCCGCGACAGGACGGAAAGACCCCGUGGAGCUUUACUGUAGCCUGAUAUUGAAAUUCGGUACAGUUUGUACAGGAUAGGUAGGAGCCUUAGAAGCGUGAGCGCUAGCUUACGUGGAGGCAUUGGUGGGAUACUACCCUAAUUGUAUUGGAUUUCUAACCCGCAGCACUUAUCGUGCUGGGAGACAGUGUCAGGCGGGCAGUUUGACUGGGGCGGUCGCCUCCUAAAGAGUAACGGAGGCGCUCAAAGGUUCCCUCAGAAUGGUUGGAAAUCAUUCAUAGAGUGUAAAGGCAUAAGGGAGCUUGACUGCGAGACCUACAAGUCGAGCAGGGUCGAAAGACGGACUUAGUGAUCCGGUGGUUCCGCAUGGAAGGGCCAUCGCUCAACGGAUAAAAGCUACCCCGGGGAUAACAGGCUUAUCUCCCCCAAGAGUUCACAUCGACGGGGAGGUUUGGCACCUCGAUGUCGGCUCAUCGCAUCCUGGGGCUGUAGUCGGUCCCAAGGGUUGGGCUGUUCGCCCAUUAAAGCGGUACGCGAGCUGGGUUCAGAACGUCGUGAGACAGUUCGGUCCCUAUCCGUCGUGGGCGUAGGAAAUUUGAGAGGAGCUGUCCUUAGUACGAGAGGACCGGGAUGGACAUACCUCUGGUGUACCAGUUGUCGUGCCAACGGCAUAGCUGGGUAGCUAUGUAUGGACGGGAUAAGUGCUGAAAGCAUCUAAGCAUGAAGCCCCCCUCGAGAUGAGAUUUCCCAACUUCGGUUAUAAGAUCCCUCAAAGAUGAUGAGGUGAAUAGGUUCGAGGUGGAAGCGUAGCGAUACGUGGAGCUGACGAAUACUA